CGUCAGCAACAUUUCUACCUGACCUUACACCGAAAGGACGUCACACCCACACAGACCUGGGCUAUCCCCGCCUCAAUCCCCAGCCAAUUUCCUUAGCCAUCAGCCUCUUCUACCAUUCUGUAUGAAGUUGGUAGGUUUAUUGAUAUUUUAUUUUUAUUUUUAUCAUGUUCUUUUUUUUUCUUUUUUUCUAUCUGGCUUUCUGUCUUUAUCUCUUCCCAAACCACUCAUCCAUUUGCUUUCUGAGGUUCUUUUGUUGUUCUGUUUUGUUCGAGGAUUAGUGUGGUCUGAGAAAACUGGACAAAGACUGUACUGUAAGGGGUAAUUUUGGACACCUGAUUGAUCAGCAAACACAGCGUCAAUUCAUUUCAACUUUGAUACCCUCUUUUUGACAAAGAGAUCUAUUGAGGGCACUUUUCAUUAAAUGGUGAAGUUUUUAAACAAAGGCCUGUUGUAGAGACUCUUAAAGGCAGGUUUAGAUAAUGAUCUAAGGAACAUUAAUAGACCAUUAACGGCGCCACUGUUUACCCAACACCAUUGACAAGAGGAGAGUACAGGGGUUAAUAUACUAUAACCGGAAACCUCUGCAACAAUUUUCACCACUUCUACAUAAUUUAUAUGCUGUUACUUGCUGCUGAAAAUAUGUAGGUGUAUACAUAUGUCUACCCAACACGUUUUCUUCCAUGCCUUCUGCUAAUGAUUGACAGCUCAAGUAAUUAAUUUAAACAUAUAAAUGCAAAGAAGUGAUACAGGUGCUUAAAUAUUUUGUUUGCAGUAUUAUGUAGUAUUCAGUCAUAGCUAUCAUUAUUGAAAAUACAUGAGAAAUGUUUAUAAUGAAAAUCUAUACUUUUUUCAACCAACAACGUACAAAAAUUAAUAGGCUUGUACUAACUAAGUUUUGUAUUCAUGAUAAAAACACAGAACGUUUUCUACCUCUUUUUCACACGAGCGCUUACCUGUGCAGUAUGAAAGAACAGACAGAAGCAUGGAGAGGGGAAGAGUGGUCCUCAUGACUCUGGUACGCCACUACACUGACUGCUCAAGGUGAGAGGAGAGCACCUGAGAGGCAGCGACAGGGAGGGAGGAGAGGAGAGGAGGGAGAGGUAGUGU
Molecule: long non-coding RNA, 1107 nt
Organism: Clupea harengus (Atlantic herring)
Lineage: Eukaryota; Metazoa; Chordata; Actinopteri; Clupeiformes; Clupeidae
Source: Ensembl